UAAUCUACCUUUGGAUGGGGAAUAACAAUCGGAAACGGUUGCUAAUACCGCAUAAUGCAGCGGCACCUAAUGGUGACAGUUGUUAAAGCGGGGGAUCGAAAGACCUCGCGUCUGAAGAGGAGCCUGCGGCGGAUUAGCUAGUUGGUAAGGUAACGGCUUACCAAGGCUAUGAUCCGUAGCCGGCCUGAGAGGGCGGUCGGCCACACUGACACUGACAUACGGGUCAG
This 227-nucleotide ribosomal RNA is filed under the name uncultured bacterium. Its description in RNAcentral is "partial 16S ribosomal RNA". It matches the Rfam family "Bacterial small subunit ribosomal RNA", at positions 122 to 334 of the family's 1533-position model. The record is from RNAcentral.